Molecule: ribosomal RNA, 2991 nt
Filed under: Salmonella enterica subsp. enterica
Lineage: Bacteria; Pseudomonadati; Pseudomonadota; Gammaproteobacteria; Enterobacterales; Enterobacteriaceae
Description: bacterial LSU rRNA
Rfam family: Bacterial large subunit ribosomal RNA
Source: RNAcentral
UUAAGCGACUAAGCGUACACGGUGGAUGCCCUGGCAGUCAGAGGCGAUGAAGGGCGUGCUAAUCUGCGAUAAGCGCCGGUAAGGUGAUAUGAACCGUUAUAACCGGCGAUACCCGAAUGGGGAAACCCAGUGUGAUUCGUCACACUAUCAUUAACUGAAUCCAUAGGUUAAUGAGGCGAACCGGGGGAACUGAAACAUCUAAGUACCCCGAGGAAAAGAAAUCAACCGAGAUUCCCCCAGUAGCGGCGAGCGAACGGGGAGGAGCCCAGAGCCUGAAUCAGCAUGUGUGUUAGUGGAAGCGUCUGGAAAGGUGCGCGAUACAGGGUGACAGCCCCGUACACAAAAGCGCAUGUGCUGUGAGCUCGAUGAGUAGGGCGGGACACGUGGUAUCCUGUCUGAAUAUGGGGGGGACCAUCCUCCAAGGCUAAAUACUCCUGACUGACCGAUAGUGAACCAGUACCGUGAGGGAAAGGCGAAAAGAACCCCGGCGAGGGGAGUGAAAAAGAACCUGAAACCGUGUACGUACAAGCAGUGGGAGCACAGGUUUACCUGUGUGACUGCGUACCUUUUGUAUAAUGGGUCAGCGACUUAUAUUCUGUAGCAAGGUUAACCGUAUAGGGGAGCCGUAGGGAAACCGAGUCUUAACCGGGCGUUAAGUUGCAGGGUAUAGACCCGAAACCCGGUGAUCUAGCCAUGGGCAGGUUGAAGGUUGGGUAACACUAACUGGAGGACCGAACCGACUAAUGUUGAAAAAUUAGCGGAUGACCUGUGGCUGGGGGUGAAAGGCCAAUCAAACCGGGAGAUAGCUGGUUCUCCCCGAAAGCUAUUUAGGUAGCGCCUCGUGAAUUCAUCUCCGGGGGUAGAGCACUGUUUCGGCUAGGGGGCCAUCCCGGCUUACCAACCCGAUGCAAACUGCGAAUACCGGAGAAUGUUAUCACGGGAGACACACGGCGGGUGCUAACGUCCGUCGUGAAGAGGGAAACAACCCAGACCGCCAGCUAAGGUCCCAAAGUCAUGGUUAAGUGGGAAACGAUGUGGGAAGGCCCAGACAGCCAGGAUGUUGGCUUAGAAGCAGCCAUCAUUUAAAGAAAGCGUAAUAGCUCACUGGUCGAGUCGGCCUGCGCGGAAGAUGUAACGGGGCUAAACCAUGCACCGAAGCUGCGGCAGCGAACGUAUCACCCAAGACAACUUUACGGAGUUGACGAUUGACGGAGCGAAGCGACGUCAAAGCGUUCAUUAAAGUCGAGUUGGCUUAGGGAUACGUUCGUUGGGUAGGGGAGCGUUCUGUAAGCCUGUGAAGGUGUGUCGUGAGGCAUGCUGGAGGUAUCAGAAGUGCGAAUGCUGACAUAAGUAACGAUAAAGCGGGUGAAAAGCCCGCUCGCCGGAAGACCAAGGGUUCCUGUCCAACGUUAAUCGGGGCAGGGUGAGUCGACCCCUAAGGCGAGGCCGAAAGGCGUAGUCGAUGGGAAACGGGUUAAUAUUCCCGUACUUGGUGUUACUGCGAAGGGGGGACGGAGAAGGCUAUGUUGGCCGGGCGACGGUUGUCCCGGUUUAAGCGUGUAGGUGUGUGUUCCAGGUAAAUCCGGUUCACUUUAACACUGAGGCGUGACGACGAGGCACUACGGUGCUGAAGCAACAAAUGCCCUGCUUCCAGGAAAAGCCUCUAAGCAUCAGGUAACACGAAAUCGUACCCCAAACCGACACAGGUGGUCAGGUAGAGAAUACCAAGGCGCUUGAGAGAACUCGGGUGAAGGAACUAGGCAAAAUGGUGCCGUAACUUCGGGAGAAGGCACGCUGACACGUAGGUGAAGUGAUUUACUCAUGGAGCUGAAGUCAGUCGAAGAUACCAGCUGGCUGCAACUGUUUAUUAAAAACACAGCACUGUGCAAACACGAAAGUGGACGUAUACGGUGUGACGCCUGCCCGGUGCCGGAAGGUUAAUUGAUGGGGUCAGCGCAAGCGAAGCUCCUGAUCGAAGCCCCGGUAAACGGCGGCCGUAACUAUAACGGUCCUAAGGUAGCGAAAUUCCUUGUCGGGUAAGUUCCGACCUGCACGAAUGGCGUAAUGAUGGCCAGGCUGUCUCCACCCGAGACUCAGUGAAAUUGAACUCGCUGUGAAGAUGCAGUGUACCCGCGGCAAGACGGAAAGACCCCGUGAACCUUUACUAUAGCUUGACACUGAACAUUGAGCCUUGAUGUGUAGGAUAGGUGGGAGGCUUUGAAGUGUGGACGCCAGUCUGCAUGGAGCCGACCUUGAAAUACCACCCUUUAAUGUUUGAUGUUCUAACGUGGACCCGUAAUCCGGGUUGCGGACAGUGUCUGGUGGGUAGUUUGACUGGGGCGGUCUCCUCCUAAAGAGUAACGGAGGAGCACGAAGGUUGGCUAAUCCUGGUCGGACAUCAGGAGGUUAGUGCAAUGGCAUAAGCCAGCUUGACUGCGAGCGUGACGGCGCGAGCAGGUGCGAAAGCAGGUCAUAGUGAUCCGGUGGUUCUGAAUGGAAGGGCCAUCGCUCAACGGAUAAAAGGUACUCCGGGGAUAACAGGCUGAUACCGCCCAAGAGUUCAUAUCGACGGCGGUGUUUGGCACCUCGAUGUCGGCUCAUCACAUCCUGGGGCUGAAGUAGGUCCCAAGGGUAUGGCUGUUCGCCAUUUAAAGUGGUACGCGAGCUGGGUUUAGAACGUCGUGAGACAGUUCGGUCCCUAUCUGCCGUGGGCGCUGGAGAACUGAGGGGGGCUGCUCCUAGUACGAGAGGACCGGAGUGGACGCAUCACUGGUGUUCGGGUUGUCAUGCCAAUGGCACUGCCCGGUAGCUAAAUGCGGAAGAGAUAAGUGCUGAAAGCAUCUAAGCACGAAACUUGCCCCGAGAUGAGUUCUCCCUGAGACUUAGAGUCUCCUGAAGGAACGUUGAAGACGACGACGUUGAUAGGCCGGGUGUGUAAGCGCAGCGAUGCGUUGAGCUAACCGGUACUAAUGAACCGUGAGGCUUAACCUU